UCCCACUAGCCUUCCGCGUCCUGCCGCAGCCCUGCACGAAAGGGGUGUCCUGCCGCUGCAAUGAUGAAAGGGCAUCGGUCAGGCCCGACCCCCACCCACAGCACUUCUGAGGAGGGAGUUUUGCAGCCUCGGUCCACUUCCCAGUGAUGAGGGGCAGUUGCGGAGCUGGGCUGGACCCUCCGUCGGAAGAUCAGGGAGAUCUGCUGCCCUGAGCCUGCAGGGGGCACUGUGGUGCCUGGCACGCCCACCCUUGCAGGUGGAGUUGGGGAUACUGGAGGUGAACUGCCAAGAGGCCUGGCCCCAGGUGUGCUUGAAGGGCCACCUCCACCAUCAGGACCUGACACAGUUCAAAACCAGUGACAGUUAUUCAAGCCUGUCUCUUUGAGAGGAGGCCCAGGUCUCCAGAUGGGUGUUUGGGAGUACCCCUCACCCUGGGUUGACCACAUCAAGACACUAGCUUCACCUCCACCCUGGGGGUAGAAGCCCUGGCAUCCAUGGGGAGGGAGAGAGAUAAAGACACAUGCUCAUCUGAGUCCU
RNAcentral lists this long non-coding RNA (537 nucleotides) under Equus asinus (donkey). Its description in RNAcentral is "lncRNA (ENSEASG00005027467.1, ENSEASG00020032583.1)". Lineage: Eukaryota; Metazoa; Chordata; Mammalia; Perissodactyla; Equidae. The record is from RNAcentral.